Molecule: long non-coding RNA, 1271 nt
Organism: Spinacia oleracea (spinach)
Lineage: Eukaryota; Viridiplantae; Streptophyta; Magnoliopsida; Caryophyllales; Amaranthaceae
Exons: 4
Source: RefSeq, a predicted model, not a curated record
GACCCGCACAAAAUAUUUCUUUCGAAAAAAAAAAUUGCGCUCAGAAGUCUGAACCUCUAUUUCACUCUCUCCUUCCUCCCUUCUUCUCUACUUUUCGUUUUUAGGUCACUUCUUCAAUUUUACUCACAUUACUCAGAAAAUUCACCGAAAUACCACCGAGGACCACCUGUCUGUCGCGUCUCUCUCCACCGAGGACCCACAAUUCCGGUGGGUGGCUACACGUCGUCUGCCACUCUCCUCUGUGCGCCGUAUUAGGAUUUCGUGCUUCCCCUUUUUGUUCUUCAGUUCACAGGAGGCUUCGGUGUGGAAACUAUGAGAGCAUUCGUUCACUUGAGAGACAAGGCAAGAACAUGUUAUGUAUUCAGAACCGGCAACAGAAUCGCCAACAAUCUGUACAGCUGCUAAACCAAAUAGAAGUAACAGAACCACCACUGCAUGGCAACCGCUAUCAGUCCGGGGCAGACCUGAGUGAGACUGCAGUAAUCAACUUCGCCAAAUGAAGUUGACCUGGUUUGACCAGGAACCAACCUAGAGUUCUAAUUGAAACCCCAAUCCAACAGAACCAGCAAUGUCCAAUGUGUGAACUGAGGCAACAUUGUAACAAGCGUAACAGAAACAAGCAGCCUGUAAACCCACCACCAUGCCUGCAUCCUCGAACAAAAACCUAAGACUAGCCAUGCGAAAAAUGGCUCAUCCACGGGGUUAAAAUGCUGUUAAAUAUGUAGAGUGUGACACGUACAUCAUUCAAUGAUGAGGAGAAGAAGUAGGCAAAGGUCUUGAUCUUGCAAUUUGAACAAUGCAGCCUAUAAGCUGAAGUUGAAAGAAUAUAAACAAGCAGGGAAACUUUGCACCAAAAUAAAGACAUUUCCUACACCAUAAUUAACUAUAAAUCUUAUAUGCUCUUCACCUUUGAUUAAUUUAUUGUGGAAAUUGUAGGUGUUGGAAAUGGAUGUCAUGAAUGUCAAAGCGCUCUAUAGAAGGGCACAAGCGUAUAUGAACUCAACAAAUCUUGACUUAGUAGAGUUUAACAUUAAGAAGACACUGGAAAUUGACCCUGACAACAGGUAUUCAACAAUCCGAGGGAGCAACCUUUUACCAUUGAGUAGAUAAAUGAAGUUCGAAAAAAGUUGGAAAAGUUCAUUACCAUUUAUUGUCUUUGAUAUUUUCUUGUAGUGAAUCUUAGAUUAUGGAUGCUAGUUUUUCAUAGGAAUGUAAUGUAAUCAAUUUUUAUAUUUAUCAUUAUAUACUAUUCAAUUUAUUUACCUAUAUAA